Molecule: ribosomal RNA, 490 nt
Filed under: uncultured bacterium
Lineage: Bacteria
Description: partial 16S ribosomal RNA
Rfam family: Bacterial small subunit ribosomal RNA
Source: RNAcentral
AGUGAACGCUGGCGGUAGGCCUAACACAUGCAAGUCGAACGGCAGCACAGUAAGAGCUUGCUCUUACGGGUGGCGAGUGGCGGACGGGUGAGGAAUACAUCGGAAUCUACUUUUUCGUGGGGGAUAACGUAGGGAAACUUACGCUAAUACCGCAUACGACCUACGGGUGAAAGCAGGGGAUCUUCGGACCUUGCGCGAUUGAAUGAGCCGAUGUCGGAUUAGCUAGUUGGCGGGGUAAAGGCCCACCAAGGCGACGACCCGUAGCUGGUCUGAGAGGAUGAUCAGCCACACUGGAACUGAGACACGGUCCAGACUCCUACGGGAGGCAGCAGUGGGGAAUAUUGGACAAUGGGCGCAAGCCUGAUCCAGCCAUACCGCGUGGGUGAAGAAGGCCUUCGGGUUGUAAAGCCCUUUUGUUGGGAAAGAAAAGCAGCAGGUUAAUACCCCGCUGUUCUGACGGUACCCAAAGAAUAAGCACCGGCUAACUUCG